This 253-nucleotide ribosomal RNA is filed under the name uncultured bacterium. RNAcentral describes it as "partial 16S ribosomal RNA". It matches the Rfam family "Bacterial small subunit ribosomal RNA", at positions 524 to 776 of the family's 1533-position model. The record is from RNAcentral.
UACGUAGGGGGCAAGCGUUGUCCGGAAUCAUUGGGCGUAAAGCGCGUGUAGGCGGUUUGGUAAGUCCGCUCUGAAAGUCCGGGGCUCAACCCCGGAAGGCGGGUGGAUACUGUCAGACUAGAGUGCGGAAGAGGCGAGUGGAAUUCCCGGUGUAGCGGUGAAAUGCGCAGAUAUCGGGAGGAACACCAAUUGCGAAGGCAGCUCGCUGGGACGUGACUGACGCUGAGACGCGAAAGCGUGGGGAGCAAACAGG